GAUGAACGCUGGCGGCGUGCCUAAUACAUGCAAGUCGAGCGAACAGACGAGGAGCUUGCUCCUCUGACGUUAGCGGCGGACGGGUGAGUAACACGUGGAUAACCUACCUAUAAGACUGGGAUAACUUCGGGAAACCGGAGCUAAUACCGGAUAAUAUAUUGAACCGCAUGGUUCAAUAGUGAAAGACGGUUUUGCUGUCACUUAUAGAUGGAUCCGCGCAGCAUUAGCUAGUUGGUAAGGUAACGGCUUACCAAGGCAACGAUGCGUAGCCGACCUGAGAGGGUGAUCAGCCACACUGGAACUGAGACACGGUCCAGACUCCUACGGGAGGCAGCAGUAGGGAAUCUUCCGCAAUGGGCGAAAGCCUGACGGAGCAACGCCGCGUGAGUGAUGAAGGUCUUCGGAUCGUAAAACUCUGUUAUUAGGGAAGAACAAAUGUGUAAGUAACUAUGCACGUCUUGACGGUACCUAAUCAGAAAGCCACGGCUAACUACGUG
Molecule: ribosomal RNA, 497 nt
Filed under: uncultured bacterium
Lineage: Bacteria
Description: partial 16S ribosomal RNA
Rfam family: Bacterial small subunit ribosomal RNA
Source: RNAcentral